RNAcentral lists this transfer RNA (73 nucleotides) under Deltaproteobacteria bacterium. Its description in RNAcentral is "tRNA-Ala". It matches the Rfam family "tRNA". From Rfam's summary of the family: Transfer RNA (tRNA) molecules are approximately 80 nucleotides in length. Their secondary structure includes four short double-helical elements and three loops (D, anti-codon, and T loops). The record is from RNAcentral. Lineage: Bacteria; Pseudomonadati; Myxococcota; Myxococcia.
GGGGACGUAGCUCAGUUGGGAGAGCGUCUGAAUGGCAUUCAGAAGGUCGGCGGUUCGAUCCUGCUCGUCUCCA